RNAcentral lists this unclassified non-coding RNA (481 nucleotides) under Hevea brasiliensis (rubber tree). The record is from RNAcentral. Lineage: Eukaryota; Viridiplantae; Streptophyta; Magnoliopsida; Malpighiales; Euphorbiaceae.
GUGAGCUAUUUUUGCCGCUAGUGCUCAUGGGUAAGGUCGCGGUGGGUGCGGGCGUGGUCUGCGCGGCUGCUGUGUGUGCUGCGACGGCGCUGGUGGUAAGGCACAGGAUGCUCAGCUCGGGGAGAUGGGCCAAGGCCAUGGCCAUACUCAGGGAGUUCGAGGACAAGUGUGGGACACCCAUAGGAAAGCUACACCAGGUGGCCGAUGCCAUGACCGUUGAGAUGCAUGCCGGCCUUGCAUCGGAAGGUGGGAGCAAGCUUAAGAUGCUCAUCAGCUAUGUUGACAAUCUUCCCAUAGGCGAUGAGAAGGGUUUGUUUUAUGCUUUAGACCUUGGGGGCACAAAUUUUCGUGUCCUACGGGUACUAUUGGGUGGGAAAGAAGAUCGUGUUGUCAAACAAGAAUUUGAGGAAGUUUCAAUUCCUCCUUACUUGAUGACUGGAUCUUCAGAUGCAUUGUUCGAUUAUAUUGCUGAAGCACUUGC